RNAcentral lists this ribosomal RNA (521 nucleotides) under uncultured bacterium. RNAcentral describes it as "bacterial SSU rRNA". It matches the Rfam family "Bacterial small subunit ribosomal RNA", at positions 777 to 1297 of the family's 1533-position model. The record is from RNAcentral.
AAUAGAUACCCGGGUAGUCCACGCCGUAAACGAUGAGUGCUAAGUGUUAGAGGGUUUCCGCCCUUUAGUGCUGCAGCUAACGCAUUAAGCACUCCGCCUGGGGAGUACGGCCGCAAGGCUGAAACUCAAAGGAAUUGACGGGGGCCCGCACAAGCGGUGGAGCAUGUGGUUUAAUUCGAAGCAACGCGAAGAACCUUACCAGGUCUUGACAUCCUCUGCCAACCCUAGAGAUAGGGCGUUCCCCUUCGGGGGACAGAGUGACAGGUGGUGCAUGGUUGUCGUCAGCUCGUGUCGUGAGAUGUUGGGUUAAGUCCCGCAACGAGCGCAACCCUUGAUCUUAGUUGCCAGCAUUCAGUUGGGCACUCUAAGGUGACUGCCGGUGACAAACCGGAGGAAGUGGGGAUGACGUCAAAUCAUCAUGCCCCUUAUGACCUGGGCUACACACGUGCUACAAUGGAUGGUACAAAGAGCUGCGAACCCGCGAGGGUAAGCCAAUCUCAUAAAGCCAUUCUCAGUUCGGA